Molecule: transfer RNA, 83 nt
Filed under: Dicranema revolutum
Lineage: Eukaryota; Rhodophyta; Florideophyceae; Gigartinales; Dicranemataceae
Description: tRNA-Leu
Rfam family: tRNA
About the family: Transfer RNA (tRNA) molecules are approximately 80 nucleotides in length. Their secondary structure includes four short double-helical elements and three loops (D, anti-codon, and T loops).
Source: RNAcentral
GCGGACGUGGUGGAAUUGGUAGACACGCUAGAUUUAGGUUCUAGUGAAAAUUUUUCGUGAGAGUUCGAGUCUCUCUGUCCGCA